GAGUUUCCAACUCUAUAAAUACCACCAUUUCAAUUGUUUGUUUCAUCACCAAGAAAUCAAUAGAAAAUAAGAGCUAUGGCAAAGUACACUACUUUUCUUGCCCUUCUCUUUUGCCUCUUCCUUGUUGCUGCAACUGAAAUACAAAUGGCAGAAGGCAAAUACUGCUGGAAAAAAAGUGACAAGUGGAAUGGACCUUGUCAAUACUCUUACAAAUGUAGUCAUCAUUGCAAGUACUACUAUGGAGCUAAAUAUGGUAUUUGUAAGAAAUAUAAACCAUGGGGUCACAAAUAUUACUGGGCUAAAUAUGCAUGCUACUGCUACUCACCUUGUCACUACUAAGAAUAUGUCAGUAUCUCAUGGCUUGGUUUUGAUUAUGUAAACAAAUAAUUAUGAUGCUACCUAUUUUGUGUAUGUGACAAUGCAAUAAGGAUGAUUUAUGUGUGCAACUAGUUUACCCAAGCUUUGCGUGGUGAGUUAUUGUACUGUAAAUGCCUUUCUAUUAAUAUCAAUUGAUGUGAAUUAUGCU
Solanum lycopersicum (tomato) is the source of this 526-nucleotide long non-coding RNA. RefSeq lists it as uncharacterized. The record is from RefSeq and is a predicted model, not a curated record. Lineage: Eukaryota; Viridiplantae; Streptophyta; Magnoliopsida; Solanales; Solanaceae.